This is a ribosomal RNA of Prunus dulcis (almond), 119 nucleotides long. Lineage: Eukaryota; Viridiplantae; Streptophyta; Magnoliopsida; Rosales; Rosaceae. The record is from RefSeq and is a predicted model, not a curated record.
GGAUGUGAUCAUACCAACUCACAUGAGCUGAAUCCCAUCAGAACUCCGAAGGUAAGCGAGUUUGGGUGAGAUUAGUACUAGGAUGGGUGACCUCCCGGGAAGUCCUUGUGUUGCAUCCC